RNAcentral lists this ribosomal RNA (386 nucleotides) under uncultured bacterium. RNAcentral describes it as "bacterial SSU rRNA". It matches the Rfam family "Bacterial small subunit ribosomal RNA", at positions 30 to 416 of the family's 1533-position model. The record is from RNAcentral.
AUUGAACGCUGGCGGCAUGCUUUACACAUGCAAGUCGAACGGCAGCACGGGGGUAACCCUGGUGGCGAGUGGCGAACGGGUGAGUAAUGCAUCGGAACAUAUCUUAAAGUGGGGAAUAACGCAUCGAAAGGUGUGCUAAUACUCCAUAUACUCUAAGGAGGAAAGCGGGGGAUCGAAAGACCUCGUGCUUUAAGGGUGGCCGAUGUCUGAUUAGCUAGUUGGUGGGGUAAAGGCUUACCAAGGCGACGAUCAGUAGCUGGUCUGAGAGGACGAUCAGCCACACUGGGACUGAGACACGGCCCAGACUCCUACGGGAGGCAGCAGUGGGGAAUUUUGGACAAUGGGCGAAAGCCUGAUCCAGCCAUGCCGCGUGAGUGAAGAAGGCC